AUACGGAGGAUGCGAGCGUUAUCCGGAUUUAUUGGGUUUAAAGGGUGCGUAGGCUGUGCGUUAAGUCAGGGGUGAAAUGCCGUCGCUCAACGACGGAGCUGCCCUUGAUACUGGCGUGCUGGAGUACGGAUGCCGUUGGAGGAAUGAGUGGUGGAGCGGUGAAAUGCUUAGAUAUCACUCAGAACACCGAUUGCGAAGGCAUCUGACGAAUCCGUCACUGACGCUGAGGCACUAAAGCGUGGGGAUAGAACAGGAUUAGAUACCCUGGUAUUCCACGCCGUAAACGAUGAUGACUAACCGUCGGCGAUAGACAGCCGGUGGCCAAGCGAAAGCGAUAAGUCAUCCACCUGGGGAGUACGUCGGCAACGAUGAAACUCAAAGGAAUUGACGGGG
This 393-nucleotide ribosomal RNA is filed under the name uncultured bacterium. RNAcentral describes it as "partial 16S ribosomal RNA". It matches the Rfam family "Bacterial small subunit ribosomal RNA", at positions 523 to 918 of the family's 1533-position model. The record is from RNAcentral.